CCCGUAUAGAAGGCUUUCUGCACAAUGUAAUUUGGGUUCCGAUUAAUCUAAGACCCUGGGAGAAAAGACUGCCUCCAGGGAAUCAUGUCCGAUUAGGGACAAAGGAGGGCACAAGCCCAAUUCAGUCACACGACCGCAAGCAACGUGGCCCACAACGCAGAGAUGCCUCUGGCAAUCUCUUCAGGAAAACGAAGAUUCCUUACCUAGGCUAGGUAAGGCCCUGCUGGAUAAAU
RNAcentral lists this long non-coding RNA (233 nucleotides) under Theropithecus gelada (gelada). RNAcentral's name for it is "lncRNA (ENSTGEG00000010246.1)". Lineage: Eukaryota; Metazoa; Chordata; Mammalia; Primates; Cercopithecidae. The record is from RNAcentral.